This 253-nucleotide ribosomal RNA is filed under the name uncultured Armatimonadota bacterium. RNAcentral describes it as "uncultured Armatimonadetes bacterium partial 16S ribosomal RNA". It matches the Rfam family "Bacterial small subunit ribosomal RNA", at positions 524 to 776 of the family's 1533-position model. Lineage: Bacteria; Bacillati; Armatimonadota. The record is from RNAcentral.
UACGUAGGGGGCGAGCGUUGUCCGGAUUUACUGGGCGUAAAGCGCGUGUAGGCGGCUGGGCAAGUCCGGUGUGAAAGCCCGGGGCUCAACCCCGGGACGCCGCCGGAAACUGACCAGCUUGAGGCCGGAAGAGGGGCGUGGAAUUCCUGGUGUAGCGGUGAAAUGCGUAGAGAUCAGGAGGAACACCCGUGGCGAAGGCGGCGCCCUGGUCCGGCCCUGACGCUCAGACGCGAAAGCGUGGGGAGCGAACGGG